Vigna radiata var. radiata (mung bean) is the source of this 1348-nucleotide long non-coding RNA. RefSeq lists it as uncharacterized. Lineage: Eukaryota; Viridiplantae; Streptophyta; Magnoliopsida; Fabales; Fabaceae. The transcript is spliced from 8 exons. The record is from RefSeq and is a predicted model, not a curated record.
CUUAGGGUUUGAGGGGCAGCCGCGUAAGAGAGAAAGAGAGAAAACGUUCUUUGCGAAACCAUCCAACCCCAUAUCCUUAGAGUGCCAAAUUUUCGUGCAACCGCGAUUGGCUCCUUUGUUGUUCGAGGGUCGAAAUGGGAAGGGGAGAUCGUUUCUUUUAGAACCCAACCGUGAGUUCAUUGAGGGAGAAUUCUUCGGGUUUUCUUAGGAUUUUGGGGCAAAGACGCGGAGAGCUUAAUAGUCGCUAAGUGAGGAAGACACGUGAGAACGAGAGAACGCGAAGGGCGAGUGAAGAGCGUUAGGAGCGUGAAGUCUUUCGGUGAUGAGGGUGUGACCGUGAGAGGAGCAAAAACCAAAUCAAGUGUGAAUUUGGGACGUUACACCUUGCUGUAUUCACAUCCACAGCCUAGAGUAGUGGUCAAUUUGGGUAUUUUCUGCCACUAUACUACUCCGGAGAUCCAAAAAUCCACUCCUUUGUUUGUCGCUGCCAAAGCCGCUUUCUCAAACCAAUUCAUCUGUGCAGAAAUCACUUAGCUGCGUGUUAUUCACCCUUUUAUUCCUUAACUGGAAUGGUUAUUCUCUGUAUACCCUUGGUAUAUCUAGCUUUUAAGUAACCCGGAUCUCUUAUCAGGCUCUCUUCCUAUUUGUAUUCUUAUUUUCCGACACCAUUGAAUUUUUUUCUCACUAUCGGCACCGUCUCGUGCUUCCUCCACCGCAACCAACAUGUUCACAUAUCCGUGGUCUUCCUCUCAACGUCGGGGAAUCAAAAGUAUCUGGUUCUGAUAUUAGAGUUGGAAAUAUCAUUGGAAAACAAGGGCGCAUUUACGAGGUUCUUAAAGUAGAUCACUCUCAUGAAGGAAGAGGAAAAGCACAAUCAAGGUGGAGCUUCGUGACAUUGGCCAGGGAAACAAGAUAACACAAAGAAUGAGUAUUGCUGACAAUAUUGAAAAUGUAGUCCUAGCAUUAAAUUUUUGCAUGAGUUCAGUCCUACUGAACAGUGACACCCAAAUGAAAAAAAGGUGAAAGUUUUGAAAGAAAAAGGGUACCUAUAGAGAGUAGGGUUAGAAGGGUCUGGCUUGAUGGCUUGAGUGCAGCAGCUUUGAGAUACUUUCCUGACUUGAAAAACUCGUUGCCCUGAUCCUUCAGAGACAUCUCCGAACCUGAACCUUCUUUGGUUUCUGCCAUUGAUGAUAUUUUUCGUCUUAACCUUUAAAUCUGUGAUUCUGAUUCCUAAAGGAUGUCUAUAGGGUUUACCACGAAGAUGUUUGUUCCUUCCAAAACAGUUUUCUUUGGUUUUAGAUGCUUGUUUGUGUUUCAUACUAAAAAAUAAGCUAAAUUGCACCCUUCC